GGAUAGAACCGGUGGAUAUUUAUUUAGGAACCUCUUAUCACCGUUGGUUGUGUGAUAAACAUCGGGUGAAGGUAUCACCGCUGGGUUAAUUCAUAUAAUAGCAUUGAUACUCUUUUUCACCACUAGUUUUUGACAAUCCACAGCCCUACCAGCUUUAGAACCUACAAUGAUACUAUAUCACCGCUAGUUUUAAAAUGGGCGAUGACAGGGCGUUGGUGAUAGCUCGUUUGUGUAGUAGUGGGUGAAUAUGCAAAUAGGAGUAGUUAGUGUACUUGUCAAAGUGUCAAGGUCUACUGAGAUCACUCCUAACAUCUUUGAAUAUCAUUUUGCUCGAUGGCAA
This 340-nucleotide long non-coding RNA is filed under the name Setaria viridis. Its description in RNAcentral is "long non-coding RNA (SVIR_LNC001585)". Lineage: Eukaryota; Viridiplantae; Streptophyta; Magnoliopsida; Poales; Poaceae. The record is from RNAcentral.